Neofelis nebulosa (Clouded leopard) is the source of this 3086-nucleotide long non-coding RNA. RefSeq lists it as uncharacterized. The transcript has 6 exons. The record is from RefSeq and is a predicted model, not a curated record. Lineage: Eukaryota; Metazoa; Chordata; Mammalia; Carnivora; Felidae.
ACCUGCGGGCACCAGAGUUACAGUGUUUUUUUGUUGUUGUGGGGAGGCGGAGCCCACGUGCUCUUGCAGAGUCUGAAGGCCUUUUGGAACCGCUAUUUCCGCAGGAGAGUAGGAACCGGCCCGGCUGAUUAGGAGGGUGUGGUCUAUCACCUACAGCCGGCGGAAUUGUGCGGGCUGGCGAACAUUCUUAAUGCUGCGCACUAGGAGAAUUCACUUCUGAGGUCUUCGAACCAGAAAACAAGAACACUUGACUGUUUAAAAAAACACAGGUGCCUGUGCCAUGUGAUAACCAGGAGAUACAGCCCAGGGCGGGGGAGUACGUGUCCAACCAAAGCAGCCUCCAACCCGGCACCACCACUACUGGCCGAGAGGCACUGGGCAAACUAGUCUCUUCACCCAUAUCCACCUACUAGGGUGGUUACGAGAACGAAGUGAGAUCAUCCGUGUAAAGCUCUCAGCGACAUGCCAUGCAGUAUUCAAAGGACGGCUGCUUCCUGUUCUGCCUUGGUUGUCACCUAAUCAUCUGCGAUUUCUACCGGAACAAUGAAGGUGAUGUUUCCACCUCAAAGUAAGCUUAUAAGGACUUCUGGAAGGAGAAGAGUCAGCGGCCCAUAAGAUGGUAACUGAGCUUUCUUACGUUGCACACUGUUCCAGACGUUCGGUGCAGCUAUCAACGUUAACAAACAGAGACGGUGUCAGGAAGAGAGCCAUAUCUGGACUGGCCCCUUGAUUCUGAACACCAUAAUUAUGAGAAGAAAUGACUCGACACUCCCAGAAGGUGUGACUUCGUGCCAGUCCAAAGCAACCUCUUGUGUGCUGGAGGAACCAUGGACCUGACUUGCCACUUCUGACUCCACGCAGUUGCAGGUCUCCUUUUCCCAGCUACUGUCUCCUUUCUGGGAACUGUCCUUUCCACACGAAGGGCUGGGUCCAGCCACAGCAGCCUGUUCCUUCUCCAACACCCUGGUUUGACAUCUCAAGCCACGUUCUUUCUCCUGAGAAUUUGGGUAUGAGAUUCAGUCCCUGCUGAAGGACAGAAACCAGCCUGCAGAUACAGAACGAGGUGGAUGAUAAUGUUGAUAGGUACCAGAAUUGAGAGCUCAGUAUGUGUCAGGUACCGUUCUAAGAGUUUUUCACAUGUUGACUAAUUUAAUCAUCACCACAACUCUACGAAGUAGAUAUGUUCAUCAUUUCCCCCUUUUUACAUCACUUCCCUUUUUGAGGAAAUUCAGGUGUGAGAGUAUUUGCCCAGGGUCACAUAGCUAUUAAGUCUGGACACAGGCAAGAGUAGAGGAUCUUACCUCCAGACAGAAAAGCAGAGUGUCCUCACGGUUCUUUGGUCUUGCCCUUCUUUCUCACGGAUUCCAUGACAUGUUUCAGGAUCUUGCCAAUGAAUUCCUUUUUUGCUUUAACAGUCUGAAGUGGGGUUUUGUUCUUAAACCAAGGGAACUUAUGUUAAGACGGUGGCCCUGGCCUAUUAGAUCUGUUGCAUUCAACAUUAGAGGAUGUUUUUGAGAUUAACAACCAUAGAUAAGUGACUAUGGAAAACGGUUUGUUAAUGAUUCAAUUCCAUUACAAAGUUUAAAAUUGGUUAAAUCACAAUGAAGAAGGUCUCCUAGAAGAGAUUACAGGAGCAGUAAAAGCCUCCUUUUCCGGAAAACACGAUUUUAAGCAGUAACGAUGGGGUAAGCUCAUCACUAGCAGUGUGCCCUACAGAGGACGUGGUGAUUUGAUGUGUGUGUGCAUAUGCCAGUGUGUUGGGAGAGAGGUUGUGUGUUUUCUAUCAAGCCUGGAAAAGCUGGAAGGCAAUGUUGGGGCUGACGGAGGUGAGGAAAGGUGAGCCAGGUGAAUACGAUCGGAGAGCUUGUGCCUUUAAGGUAUGAUUCAAAGGGUGUUUGCAACCCAAGGUGAAAUUAGUACAGAAGGAUAAUGAAUACAUUGAAAUUGGUGAGAUACUUAAUACUGCCUAGGUUUUAUUUCCUUUAAAUCUUGCUGAAAGUACCAAUUAUGCAGCUGCAUUACUCUUUCUAGAGUGUUCUUGAUUAAUACAUACUGCUAGUGCAUAGACUUUUUAAAGAGUAACCAACUGGCUGAAUCAUGUACAUUUUCAUUGGAAAAACUAGUGAUGUGCCUAGAGUGAGUCUGCCUGAUGUCCAGAUAGCUAGCUGAUCUCAUUGCCCAGUGGUCAACUGUAGCUGCCAGAAGAGCUGGCAAAGCGUCUCAGGACACUGAUUUCGCCUUUCUCCUCCCAGCCUGAAAAAAAUACAACCUCAAAAUGUUUGUGUUUGACAUUCUUUCCAGAAGGAAGUAACAAGGAAAUAAUUCACUUGUGGCUUAGGUUGACUGGCAUGGAAACGGGGGCUCUUUCUCCUUUGGCUCAGGUCAGGGAGUAGUCAGUCCCUGUGGGAGGCAGAGCGCCUUCUGCUGAAGAAUGGGCAAAGGAAAGAGAAAUGAAAUGGAGAGGAAAUGGCCAGAGAGGAGGAUGCGUCAGGAGCGGGAGAGUUGAAACAUUAGGACACAUGACGAAAUGGAGACACUGUGUGACAUGAAAGGAUGCAGGUAAUGCCAAACCUCCAGACUACAGAGCAAACCCAAAGAAACAGUGUAUUCUUUCAUCUAAUCUGUGCCUCCAUAAGUCUCUCAUCAUUUUCCCAAUAUUUGAGAAGAAUGUGCCUUCCUGGCUUAGUCAACCUUGGGAAAGGCUGGGAUGGGGGCCCUUCUCUUACUCAAACGAAAAGCCUCAGAGAUGCAACCAGGAGGGAAGAAGGGCUCAGUCUUCUGCGUCAGAAAUGAUUCUUCCAAAGCAGGUACCACGAAACUAUCUCUAAAGGGAGAAUGCAUAGUGCCCUGGUCACCACAUUGCACAACUCCAGAGAAUGCCAUUCACACUCCAGACUAUUUUAGCUCAUGGAGUGGCAUUGGGUAUUAUACUCGUGGCUGUACACAACAACUCUGCAGAAUCAUGUAGCUUUAAAAAAAAAAAUCACCAGAUAACAAGAAGUUCAUAUUGUAGUCAAUUCGCUAAUUUGUUUUCAUUAAUAAGGAGCUCUAAAUGCACACAACGAUUAAAGCACUCUUAAAUUUCA